This is a long non-coding RNA of Gadus macrocephalus (Pacific cod), 1491 nucleotides long. RefSeq lists it as uncharacterized. The record is from RefSeq and is a predicted model, not a curated record. NCBI's taxonomy places the organism in Eukaryota, Metazoa, Chordata, Actinopteri, Gadiformes, Gadidae. The transcript is spliced from 2 exons.
GUUUCUUGGUUUCUUUGUUUUAGUAUCAUCGUAAAUAUAUCUCUUUCUUUAAUAUCUAUCAUUGAUUAUAAAGUGUUUCUUUGUUUUAAUAUCAUCAUGAAUGUAUCUCUUUCUUUAAUAUCUAUCAUUGAUUAUAAAGUGUUUCUUUGUUUUAAUAUCAUCAUAAAUAGAUCUCAUUCUUUAAUAUCUAUUGAUUAUAAAGUGUUUCUUUGAUUUAAUAUCAUCAUAAAUGUAUCUCUUUCUCUAAUAUCUAUCAUUGAUUAUAAAGUGUUUCUUUGUGUUAGUAUCAUCAUAAAUAGAUCUCAUUCUUUAAUAUCUAUUAUUCAUUUUAAAGUGUUUCUUGUUUUAGUAUCAUCAUAUAUCUAUCCUUUUCUUGUAUGACUAUUAUUCAUUAUAAGAUUUAUCAUGUUGUUUAGACAUAAUCGGUAAGAAAGAUUACAGCACUUGUGAGUGAAAUGAUGUUGUCAUGCGCUUAUGACAAGGUGCAUGAUUGUAUUGUUGAUCUUACACUUUGUAGUGGUAUUGUUGUAUCGUUUAUCAUUAUAUGGGGUAUUUUACUUAUUAGUAUAAUUUGUGAAACAAGUAAGAACAACCUGAAAGCGUACGUGCCUGUGAGUAUCCCUUCUAUGCGAGGGGCCAAGUAAGGUUCACAGUGAGCUGAGGCAGGCCAGCUGCGGCGAUAAGAGAAAGGGGAGGGAACGGUGCAAGUUCUAAAUAAAAGGAGCGAGAGGACGAGGGGAUAACGGGCGAUCGCCCGACGGGGAAUCCCUGAAGAACAGCCCUGGGCCCUUUGCGAUCACUAUUCGGACUUAGGAAAAUUAGAGCACCCAAUCGCCGGACUUUCGGACUUAGAAAAAUGAGAACAUCUUCUCUCCAACACUCUACAGAUACCCACAGCCUUUACCUCCGAUCGCAAGGGGAGAUCUCUCCCAUAGCCCAAUCGGGCUGUGUAGGCAAUCUCUCCUUUCUUCAUGGAUGUCUGAGGAAAGUGUUGGACACAGCUGAGAAAAGUUUUGGACAUAGUGUAGAGAGGUGAAAACUCCGGGAUCUAAAUUAUUAUAGACCGAAUCAGCUCUAUAGACAAACCCAAUUUAUUAGGCACUAUAUUAUAGAAGAGAUUGAGUUUCCCUCUCUCGUCCACUGUCAACACCAAGAUACCACGGUUGCACACUCCUUAGCUAUGCGGAGCGUCCUUUAUCAGUUAGGGGCCACGGACCUGGGAUAAGGUAGUCUCAAUCGCUCCGUUUUCCACACAGCUGAGAAAAGUUUUGGACAUAGUGUAGAGAGGGGAAAACUGCUGAAUCAAAAUUAUUGUAGACAAAUCCACCAAGAUGUGUUCUAGAUGUAUUUUCUAUCACUUAAUUAGAAGUGUCACUGACGGCAUUUUAUUAGUCACUAUAUUACAUGUAUUAACAUGCUUUUUCGAUGACCUUUGCUGCUUGCUGCAAUGUCCCAGAUAUUAAUCCUGCAAAUAAAACUAUAUUCAAACCA